Fukomys damarensis (Damara mole-rat) is the source of this 1814-nucleotide long non-coding RNA. Lineage: Eukaryota; Metazoa; Chordata; Mammalia; Rodentia; Bathyergidae. The record is from Ensembl.
CUGAGGCGCCCGAGGCGCUCUGCCCGCCCGCAUGGCCGAGGCUCCCGUUGAGGACCCGAGCGACGCGCUCAGGACGCAGCAGUGCUGGAAGCUCGUCAGGAACCUGGAGGCCGCUAUUCAGCAGUUCCAGUGCCACCCCAGAAAUGCCAUUUCAGAUGAUCUAAAAGUUGGCUUUUUCACCACAGACCAUGCUACUCAAACAUAUGCUAGUGAAAUUGUGCCUCUGAAAGAGCUGAGUUCAUCUACACAAAAGCUAGCACAGGUUGUUACAUCCCUUCAGGUAGAUUUUAAGUUCCUUAAAGAACUGGUUCAGUUGAAGUUUGAAGAACGACUUAAAGAGGAGUCAUCUAAUAUCUCCAUUGCUCUGUAUGACAGGAUCCUAGAGAUGGAAAAACACAACCAACAGAAUAUGGAGAACAUGAGAAAAUGCUUUCAGCAGCAGUUAGCUGAUGCCAUCGCUGUCAUCAAAGGGAUGUACCAGCAAUUCUUUGAUGUAGAGGAAGAAGAAACUACUUUGCACGAUGCAGAAAAUGUCAAAUUGGGUGUUUUGUCAAGAAAACUGAGGGAGAAAGAAGAAAUUAUUAGGGAAUUAAGAGAAGAACUAGAUCAAUGUGAAGGAUUUCAAAAAAUUGACUCCUUUGCCGAGACCAGCUCCUCCAAGUCAACCUUAGAAAGGGAAAAUUGGGAGUACAAAAGAGAAAAUGAGAGACUGCUCAAAGUCGUUGCAGAACUUGAAGAAGAAAUCAAACUCAAAAUAAAAGAAAAUUCAGCAAUGGAAGAUGAACUUAUAAGUCUGAAAGAGACUUCAGAGCAGAAUCAGAGAACUAUUCAAAAGUUAAUGGAUAGUAGAGACAGAUUACGAUAUGAGCUUGAUUGUGAAAAAGUAUUAGUCCAAGACAUGAUCAGUAAACGCAAAGAAGACAUGGAAAUAUACGCCAGGAACCUGAAAUCACCCAAGAAGAGAGAACCCUCUUUGUCCCCGUGGCAGUCACAGCGCAGGAGCUCCACAUCUCCAAGGACAACUUCCGGUUCCAUGAGUACUCAGUCUGUCCGAGCAAAGAAGUCUAAACUUGCCCUGAAGAAAAUUCCAAAGCCAGAGCAGGCAGUGGACAGUUCUGAUCUCUCUCACGUUGGCUCCAAGACCAGACUUGAGACCCACACCACUGACAGAGAGAAGCCCGCCAAGGGUGACAACAACACAAAAGACCUUUUGGAUGGAGGAACCAACUUGAGGAAGGAGAAGGUUAAAUCUAAAACAGCUACUGUGGCACAUGAAGAUGGGAAAGUGGAAGUAUCAUUCUCUAAGGAUGAAGACAAAGAAGCUUUGAAGACAGAAACAGAAACACUAAAGGCUGAUUUAGAGAAUGUGAAAAAGAAGUUUGAAAGAUUUAGGAAGGAAUCAGAAAGAAUAAGCAAAAACUGGGAGAAGAGAUUCUUUAUUCUCAGAAACAGCUUUCAUGCCCUUAAGAAUGAGAUGUUUACCAGACACACACUGUUUCAUCAGUUUGCAAUACUUGCUGGUACAUCCUUCAAUUAUGUUAAAGCAAAACCCUUGUAUGUGCAGUCCAAAGCGAACUUGACAGACACCGCCUCUUCUUCAAGCAAUCAUUUCCCUGAGGUAGCCAAGAAAAACGUGGAUGCAGUGAAUGAUCACCCAUCUUCCUCCAAGGCCUUUAUCCAACCUUUGAAGAAGCCACCCAUGCUGCCGAGCAGCCCCAGGGAAGAGGAGAAUCCACCCAAUUAACCAAGAAGGAAAUUGGACAGCGCAGAGCAGGGGCCAGACAGAGGGCUCUCUUCAUCUUGGCCCCAGGAAG